Gadus morhua (Atlantic cod) is the source of this 78-nucleotide microRNA precursor. Ensembl annotates it as gmo-let-7f. Its record names the gene gmo-let-7f. The record is from Ensembl. Lineage: Eukaryota; Metazoa; Chordata; Actinopteri; Gadiformes; Gadidae.
UGAGGUAGUAGAUUGUAUAGUUUAAGGGUAGUGAUUUUACCCGUUUCAGAAGAUAACUAAACAGUCUACUGCCUUCCU